Non-coding RNA from Paramuricea clavata, 1481 nucleotides. Lineage: Eukaryota; Metazoa; Cnidaria; Anthozoa; Malacalcyonacea; Plexauridae. The record is from the annotation of a GenBank genome assembly.
GGAGAAUUUGUUCGAUAAGUACAAGAAAUUGUCGAUUUCUCAAAUUUAGUUUAGAAAUGUAGUUUUUAAGCGUUUUUGUGCAUUUUGUGCCCAAUUUCCGUGACAAUAUGGACCAGAUGGAGUAAAGACAGCCACAUGAAGGUAAUCUUUUUCUUUAAACAUACUUAAUAGGCGCUUUUUAACCUUUAUUUGAAUUAAUAUACAGACUGACAGACUAAGUCUGUUAUAUGAGUAAUUUUUAAUAUGAUAUACCUGUGUUAUAAUAGAAUUGAUAUUAUAAACGAAAGGAUUUUAGUUAAGUAUUAUUUACAUUAUUUUAUAUGAUGUAAAUAGCGAUAUAUAUUGUUAUAUAAAUCUGUUCAGUGUUGAAUGCUGUUAUAUUUGUCUCUUUGGACUUUGGUUCAUGCAAUAACAACAAUGUCAAAGCUAAUUUUAUAUAAAUUGCAAUAGCAGCAAAUUGCCGUAUCACCUGUAUGCGUUUUUAAAACACCUAUUAAAUCUUCUUUUGAUAGCAUCAGUAAGUUCUGAUGAUAUAUUUAAUGCAUCCUUUUCCCAACUUGAUUUUGAAGAAGGUAUUGUCUACUUAUGUAGUUUAAGUUCCUAAGUCAGCAGACAUUUGAAUACAUCAUGCAUCACAUUUUUGGUGAUCUGAAGCAUUAUAAUAUAGUACAUUUAUGAAUUAAUGACUAAUGAGUAAUAGAAAUGUUGUUAAUUUAUUAUGUUGUUAGAUAGUGAUGUCCCCAUUGCCACUGUAGCAGAUUAUGAGAUGGAAAACUAUGACGAGAUUGAAAAAUCUAGCAGUUUAUCAAGUGGUCUUGAACUGACAAUUGCACCACGAAACUCGGUGGUGCAAUCAGCACACCACCAUAGCCCUAGUAGGGGGCAGUGAAACUUAAUGGGCAAAGUUGUUAAUUUGCAAAGUUUAAUGUGCCUAGCUUGUUUAGACGUUAAGAUGUGGAUGAGUGUAUAAAUAAAGGCCCACAAGAGUAUUAAAUUGCAUAAAUAUUGCCAUACAGCCAUAGCUCUAGAUCUUUUUGAAUGUAAAUACUAGUAGUUUAUAUUAUGAGCAAAAUAAAUAAAAUUCUCAACAUUUUAGGUUAAAUGCUCCAGGGGUUGUUUGCAUAGUAUGUUGAUGAGGUAUAUCUCAUUUAGUCAAGUUAUGUAAAACAUUCAUGAGGAUUUAGGAGCAAGCACAGAGACAACUGGGAUAGGUCUUGUGUUUACACUACAAACCUACACCUGUCCAAGCUGUUUACUGGGACUUACCUUGAGUGACCUGAGAAUGAUUUCAGGUAAAGCAUUUGUGUGUAUAAACAUGUUUGGAUUGUUUAAUCCCAAGACCAAUUUCCAUGGCAACAUGGUAAAUCAUGUGUGUAUAUGUAUGGUACAUGUAUGGUUGUAUUUUUGUGUGUUUAUACACCAUACUUUGCCGGGCUGAUUUUAGAUUUUGCUAACUGUUGACAAAUAUUUUCAGUGAGACC